RNAcentral lists this signal recognition particle RNA (267 nucleotides) under Candidatus Poribacteria bacterium. Its description in RNAcentral is "signal recognition particle sRNA large type". It matches the Rfam family "Bacterial large signal recognition particle RNA". From Rfam's summary of the family: The signal recognition particle (SRP) is a universally conserved ribonucleoprotein involved in the co-translational targeting of proteins to membranes. The record is from RNAcentral. Lineage: Bacteria; Candidatus Poribacteria.
CUAUGCUAAGCGGGGAGGUAGCGGUGCCCUGAACCUGCAAUCCGCUAUAGCAGGGCUGAAUUCCUAUUGUGCGGCGAACUUCUCUUGAGGACUGGCCCAUGUAAGUGGUGAUGAAGAUUGGGUCCUGAGCAACUCACAAUUAUCAAACCCCGUCAGGUCCGGAAGGAAGCAGCGGUAGAUAAUCUGGGGGUGUGACGCAGGGAAGCCUGGUCGGAGCUAACUGCUUGGGUAACGCUUGGGGGAACUCGUCAAGCUCUAGGUGCAUGG